AUCAGAAGGUACCUCCAAAAAGCCAAAGAUCACCAUGGUCGGUCGAAAAGAAGCUUUAGCUGAGCGGGCCUCAGCAGUUGAGGCCACCAUUGCAAUGGCGACCCCCGCCCUCUGGGCCCUUCCUUGUGAGCCACAGCCCUUGGCCCUGCUGCUCAGGUACAAGCAUUUUAGCCAUCUAUGGCUCAUGCUCCAACCCCUCCUGCAUCCCUACAUAAAGAUGGGGUUCAACCUUCUCUAGUAGCUGGCCCAAGCAGACUGCCUCCCCCAGA
RNAcentral lists this long non-coding RNA (269 nucleotides) under Elaeis guineensis (African oil palm). RNAcentral's name for it is "long non-coding RNA (EGUI_LNC046204)". Lineage: Eukaryota; Viridiplantae; Streptophyta; Magnoliopsida; Arecales; Arecaceae. The record is from RNAcentral.